CCUACGGGGGGCAGCAGUGGGGAAUAUUGGGCAAUGGGCGCAAGCCUGACCCAGCAACGCCGCGUGAAGGAAGAAGGCUUUCGGGUUGUAAACUUCUUUUCUCAGGGACGAAGCAAGUGACGGUACCUGAGGAAUAAGCCACGGCUAACUACGUGCCAGCAGCCGCGGUAAUACGUAGGUGGCAAGCGUUAUCCGGAUUUACUGGGUGUAAAGGGCGUGUAGGCGGGAAAGCAAGUCAGAUGUGAAAACCAUGGGCUCAACCUGUGGCCUGCAUUUGAAACUGUUUUUCUUGAGUACUGGAGAGGCAGACGGAAUUCCUAGUGUAGCGGUGAAAUGCGUAGAGAUUAGGAGGAACACCAGUGGCGAAGGCGGUCUGCUGGACAGCAACUGACGCUGAGGCGCGAAAGCGUGGGGAGUAAACAGGAUUAGAUACCCCAGUAGUC
This 443-nucleotide ribosomal RNA is filed under the name uncultured bacterium. Its description in RNAcentral is "partial 16S ribosomal RNA". It matches the Rfam family "Bacterial small subunit ribosomal RNA", at positions 338 to 795 of the family's 1533-position model. The record is from RNAcentral.